This 753-nucleotide ribosomal RNA is filed under the name Triticum aestivum (bread wheat). RNAcentral's name for it is "partial small subunit ribosomal RNA". Lineage: Eukaryota; Viridiplantae; Streptophyta; Magnoliopsida; Poales; Poaceae. The record is from RNAcentral.
AUGACAAAUAUGGUUCGAUGGCUCUUCUCUACUAACCACAAGGAUAUUGGGACUCUCUAUUUCAUCCUCGGUGCCAUUGCAGGAGUGAUGGGCACAUGCUUCUCCGUACUGAUUCGUAUGGAAUUAGCCCAACCCGACGAUCAAAUUCUUGGUGGGAAUCAUCAACUUUAUAAUGUUUUAAUAAUGGCUCACGCUUUUUUAAUGAUCUUUUUUAUGGUUAUGUCGGCGAUGAUAGGUGGAUUUGGUAAUUGGUUUGUUCCGAUUCUGAUAGGUGCACCUGACAUGGCAUUUCCACGAUUAAAUAAUAUAUCAUUCUGGUUUUUGCCACCAAGUCUCUUGCUCCUAUUAAGCUCAACCUUAGUAGAAGUGGGCAGCAGCACUGGGUGGACAGUCUAUCCGCCCUUAAGUGGUAUUACCAGCCGUUCUGGAGGAGCAGUUGAUUUAGCAAUUUUUAGUCUUCAUCUAUCAGGUAUUUCACCAAUUUUAGGAUCUAUCAAUUUUAUAACAACUAUCUUCAACAUGCGUGGACCUGGAAUGACUAUGCAUAGAUUACCACUUUUUGUGUGGUCCGUUCUAGUCACAACAUUCCUACUUUUAUUAUCACUUCCGGUACUGGCGAGGGCAAUUACAAUGUUAUUAACCGAUCAAAACUUUAAUACAACCUUUUUUGAUCCUGUAGGAGGGGGAGACCCAAUAUUAUACCAGCAUCUCUUUUGGUUCUUCGGUCAUCCAAAGGCAUGGUUUAUGCCAUGA